AAAAAGUUGUAAAAAGGAGGGAUGGGAGAAGAGAAGAAAUAGUGUUGUGACUCCUGGCCCUCAGAUCUAUUGCUGUCCUAAGAUGUGCUCCCAAAUGAGUUUGUUCAUUUUACUGGUGCUUUUGUUCAGUUCUAUCUCAUCAUUUCUCAAAGAAUUCCUUCCAUGACUUCCUUUAUGAAGAUAACACAUAGACGAGGCGAAUACCAGGUGUAAGUAGUAUGUUAUAAAAGCAUGGACACUGAAUCUGGAGUCAGGGGCCUUCCUUUGGUCUUCUGUGAUGGAAAUGUCACUAGCGUUAUCCUACUUCAUUGGUAAAAAAAAAAUUGUACUCAGGCAAUCUACUUACAGGACUGUUUUGGGAAUCAAAUAAAAUAAUU
This is a long non-coding RNA of Sarcophilus harrisii (Tasmanian devil), 377 nucleotides long. RefSeq lists it as uncharacterized. The record is from RefSeq and is a predicted model, not a curated record. The transcript has 4 exons. Lineage: Eukaryota; Metazoa; Chordata; Mammalia; Dasyuromorphia; Dasyuridae.